UGCCCAUGGGGCAGACAGACUCCAAAGAUCUAUAAAGGAGUGAUGCCCAUGAGACAGACAGACUCCAAAGAUCUAAGUUACAAGAACUACUCCUAGAAAAGCAGUAAAUGGGGAAAAGAAAAAGAUUACAUUUAGACUACUCCUAGAAGAGCGAUAAAAUGCAGAGGAAAUAAGCGUGGUCUUUUGUGCGCAGGAGCAAAGACCUCUAUUGCAGGCUUCAAAGUUACUAUUUAUAGCACACAUUAUUAGUUGGUUGAAAGUAGUUGGGGGGAGUGGUUGUAACCAUGAUCGUGGAAGUUAUACUAACUCCUCAUGAAAAUUACGCUAACUCCUCAUGGAAGUUACACCCUAAUCUUCAACCGUUCCCGCCUUCUUGUCCUUCAGGCGCCUUAUUGCCGAAUCCUGGUGUACCACGUAUCCUUAUUAGUUCAUACGUGGGUUAGGUCGGCUCAAUU
RNAcentral lists this long non-coding RNA (455 nucleotides) under Ananas comosus (pineapple). RNAcentral's name for it is "long non-coding RNA (ACOM_LNC037225)". The record is from RNAcentral. Lineage: Eukaryota; Viridiplantae; Streptophyta; Magnoliopsida; Poales; Bromeliaceae.